This 285-nucleotide long non-coding RNA is filed under the name Eucalyptus grandis. RNAcentral's name for it is "long non-coding RNA (EGRA_LNC004749)". The record is from RNAcentral. Lineage: Eukaryota; Viridiplantae; Streptophyta; Magnoliopsida; Myrtales; Myrtaceae.
AGACAAAAGAAUUAGCAUCUAAGCAUUUGUAGUCUAAUUACAUCCAUAAGGAAAAGUAUUGUAUAGAUUGAUUCUAUGAAUUUAGAUAUGGUGCCAUUUGAUUUUCAGAUAAGCCCAAAAUGAAAAUGAUUGAUACUGUAUAUUUAUGUUCUUUGAUACACUGGAAAAGCCAAGAGUAUGUUACGAGCAGAUGAGUAUAUAAAAGGGAAAGGGCCUCUAGGUAAUAGUUUUUUCCGCCAAAUUACGAGCAGAUGAGUAUAUAAAAAGGGAAAGGGCCUCUCUAGG